RNAcentral lists this ribosomal RNA (198 nucleotides) under uncultured bacterium. RNAcentral describes it as "partial 16S ribosomal RNA". It matches the Rfam family "Bacterial small subunit ribosomal RNA", at positions 328 to 539 of the family's 1533-position model. The record is from RNAcentral.
ACGCUCGACACCUACGGGAGGCUGCAGUGGGGAAUAUUGCACAAUGGGGGAAACCCUGAUGCAGCAACGCCGCGUGAAGGAAGACGGUUUUCGGAUUGUAAACUUCUGUUCUUAGUGAAGAUAGUGACGGUAGCUAAGGAGCAAGCCACGGCUAACUACGUACCAGCAGCCGCGGUAAUCUGAGCGGGCUGGCAAGGC